Long non-coding RNA from Bombus impatiens (common eastern bumble bee), 2927 nucleotides. RefSeq lists it as uncharacterized. The transcript is spliced from 2 exons. Lineage: Eukaryota; Metazoa; Arthropoda; Insecta; Hymenoptera; Apidae. The record is from RefSeq and is a predicted model, not a curated record.
AGUAACGUUUUCGGAUGAACUUGGCCCAGAAAUGGCCCCCAGUGGAAAGUGCAAGUGAAACCUCUCUCUCGAAAGAGAGAGCCGUCUAUCGUUUCAUCUUCCACUUCCAUUUGUUCCUCUAACGUAGUCACAUUUCACGUUCUAUCCAGCGAACUCUAUGAGUUCCUCGAUACGAUCGAUUGUUCCGCGUGAACGUGAACUCGCUCCAUUUCCUUUCUUCAUCUUCAUUGCCGUAAGAUCGUUGUUAGUAAAUUGCCUAAGGCGAGAGAAUCGUUAGCUCUCAGGAUUACUCACGGUAUCUUUUCCUAUGACCGUUUCUACGAAUCCGAUCCAUGCGCAGAUCGAAUGGACAAAAAGACAGAGUUCUGGCGUCGCGACCUCGGCGAAAUCGUCGCGAAGGCCGUUCGACACGGUUCGCGCAGCUGGUUCGCAACUGGACGCCGGAAGAUAUAUUGUAUCGAUUAGCAAUAAAACGCGCACACCGUUCGCGAAUAAACGGCACAGACAACUAGGUUGCUAGGUAGGUGGGUGAAGUAGGUAGAACGUAGGUAGCCGGUAACGCGUCACUCGUCUCUCUGUUCCGCAGCCCUGUGUAUAUAGAGACCAGCAACAACGUCACUGCCGUCCGAGGAAUCCGGAUCGUUGCGCGAUCGAACCUAGCUCGCGACCGCGAUCCAUGCCCCUCGAUAGAAGCAAGGAACACAAGAAUGGAAGCUUCGCACUGCCAUGGACAUCAGUCACCUAGUCGCUGCUGCUCUUCGUUCGUCGUUUGUCGAGCAAGCAAGUGAGCGCGAGGACUGGAUGCGUUUAAACCGUCGAAUCUCGCCGUUGCACCCGGCGGUCUGCAGGGUUGUCCGUUUCGACGCGCGUUCGUUUAACUUUCAACCGCCCUUUCAUUUAUAGCGCAGGCGACCUUGAAAAUGUUACUAUUUUUUUUAUUACUAUUAUUAUAAUUAUUUAAAUCGUAAUAUUAAGGGGCACUAAGGCACCGUUAUAAAUAAUAUAAAUAUAUAUAAUAUAAAUAUGUACAUGUAUGAAAACGUAGGUGCGGACGAAGGAUCCUAAAACACAAUGACUGCGAACUUCCGCAUCCCGUAUCUCUGCUACCGCUGGAAAAUUGUUGUCAUUACUCUCCGAUAGUUACUUGGUUACUGUAAAGACACACUACAUACCCACACAUACAGAUACACCAACAGACGCGUUCAAGUACACGCGACGUACUUACACACACAUACACACACACAGAGAAGCAUACACUGGCCGUACAAACACCAGGACUAAACGUGUAUCCAGUUGAAUUUACUAAACGUUCGUCGGCUUGUUCGGCGGGUAACGUGUAUCCAGUCUGAUUGCAUUUAAAAGCAGAGUAGAACGUGGCCAAGCACGUUUUAGUAAAUUCAAUGAAAAAUGUUGUUCUUUCCGUAUGUUACUGCUACCACCGCUAUUACUACCGCCACUAUAUCGUCGCCUGUUACACUGCAAUUACGCGCUACCAGUAUACUACUUAUUCGCCGAUAUAGCCGUUACGAGACGUAAACACGGCCAUUGGAAAAAUACAUGUUGUCCCUCAAUUAUAGCGAACGAUUCCAAUACUAUUGAGUUUCGCGUUUUCGAGAUCGCUGGUGACCUGGUUGAUCGAUCAUGAAACUCUACGAUACUAGCGGACAAAGAAAAAUGGCAACAAUCUGUUCUCUCUUCGACCCUUAUAUUACGAAAUUAUUCUUAUCCUAUUCUCUCUAGAAUAUAUUUAUUAUGAACCAAACAACAACCGACUGUGUCUUCUCUUAUCCUGUUUUGCCUCCUACCUAUGAGAAAAUCUCUGGCAUCUAACGAGUUUAAGAAACUAUCAUCGGGGAAUAGCGAUCGUUAUCGGAUAUCUUGACGACCAAAGUUUUCGAGCACAAUGGUACACGGUCACCAGUGAGUCGAACGUACCGAAAACGAACGAGGCUCGACGAACGAAGUAAAGAAUCGAGAAGAAAAGGGAAAGAACAAAAAAAGGAUUCUUCGAUUGCCUAUUUUUCGUUGAAAUUGCGCACACGAGUGUUCGUUGACCCGUUCCUCUACUCGCGCUCGCGCUACGUGUUCGUACGAGCUGCACGCGAGAGAGAAUGCGCCUCAAAGCACGACGGCCGGCCAACAGGAGCGCGGUUUUCUCUCUUACCGCCUCUCUCCUUCUCCCUUUUCCCCCUGACACUGUCUCUUUCUUUCCACCUUUCUCUCUGUCUGUGGUCGUCAGGAAGCAGUUACUGUGCGGCCGCGUGCAUUGUUACACAUAACUUCUUUCCAUCCUCGGCGUUGUAACGCGCGCGAUCCGCGCGUUUUCAGCCACGAACACGCCGCGCGCUUUGCAUUCCACGCGCACACGUCGCGGUUUUUCGCGGGCCCGUCCCACGAUCCCGAUCGUUGACGUUUCCACCGAGUGGCGACUAUUGUCAUUGUUCCGAACUUCGUCUCGACUACGACGUUUAGUUACCGUGAUCAUCCGUGAAGAUGAUUCUCUUGCGGCGGAACGGAAUUAUACAAAGAAUCGGAAGAAACUUUGGUGUCGAAUUCGACCUGCUAUAUACGAUUAAUGGAUUUAUGGCACGGAUGGUAGAAACUCUGUAUGCUUUGCAGAAUAUAAAAUUAUAAACUUUUGAUAUCGAAUCGAACCUACAAUUUAUGAUUAUGAAUUUUAUGAUUAUGAAUUUAAAAUUAAACGAUUUUGACGUCAAAUUUGAUCCGUAAUCUUUGAUUAUUCUCUCGAAGCCACUUUUUUUUUUAUAACAGUAUCGCAUAAAUAACAUGUCAAUCUAUCGAGCGUAUAGAACUCCAUUACCUCUGUUUGCUUGGUUGAUGCAAUAAACCCGUUUAUAGCAGUGAUUCCUUAAUUGCCUCGAGCAAUGGCUAAAUGAAACGCAAAUAUAAUAAAUUACCUACUGAAA